UCGUCCCUUUGAAAUACUACAAUUGAUUGCUUUGUACUCCGACUCCGAUCACCAUCAGUGUUUCUAAGCCUUCGCCGGACUAUGCCGGAGCAAGUAUAACUAGGUAUACUUAGUUGGGAUUCAAAAACAUUUAGGCUGAACUCUCAGUAACGUUUCAUACUUCCACUUGGUUACUCUAUUUUGGCAUUUUCCACAUAAAACAAUUAUUCUUAGCUCUUGCUACGGUUGAUCUAUUUUCCAGAUCUCACUCAAUUGAGCUACGCCCUUGGUUUUUCAUCUUCUGGGUUUUAAUUUGCUGAAAAUCUUUGCUCAAUCAGAAGCGUUGAAGUUAGGGUUCCGUCAAUCCAUUGGGAAAGUUUUUUUCAGAGAGCGUUGAGUGCUACCGGAGUUUCAUCACGUCGCAACAUUGGAUUUUAAGUUGCGUUGACGGCGAACGAAAGAAAACAGUGUUGGUUUCCGAAAUGGAGUUGAGUUGAAACGGGUGCACGAUUGUUGGAGUUUUCGUCCAAGGCGCAGUCCGUUGGUUUGGUGCGAGUUGAAUUUUCUGUUUUGAACCCCAUUACUAGCUGCGUUAUUCUGUCCAUUGACGGCUCAAAAUUAUAUUAAUUCAGGUCCAUCACUUUUAUACCGUCUAUUAAUCCAUUGAUACACUUUGUAUUCCCCUAAGUUCGAACUUGCAUUUAUAUUCUUGCUUAGCUUCAUUGUUACCUUGUUUAGUUUGGGUUGGGGAAAUAAUCCAUAAAAUUGGAAUUGGCUUUCGGCGAUAAAUUUGAAUCAUGCUUAAUAUCAUUUUGUUUUAUUCUUAUUAUUUUAGUCGCUAGAAGCAUGCUUAGACCGACUACACUUGGGUAGGAAAAAUUUAGGAAUUUUUUUCAAUUUUGAGGCGAGAGGUCGCUCCCUUAGUUAAAUAUAUCUGGGGAAUGCCCCAAAGAAUUUGUACAUAUUUUAUUUCGGGGAAUGCCCCGUAGUAUUUUGUAAGUGAAGGAUGUGACGAAUAUCAUAGAGGAAGUAGCGUAGGAUAAUUUCGGACUUUAAUUUUUCUUCUUUUAAGUUUCUUUUCUUUAGUGGGGACGACCUCAAGCCUCUUGUGUGUUUAUUUUUCUUUUUCUGUAUUUUCUAUCUCAAUUGAAUAUAUUAAAGUCCGACUAGAUCAAGUACUCAACCGUACUAUCUACGGGACUUGGAGAGUGCCUAACACCGUAUCCCCGAGU
RNAcentral lists this long non-coding RNA (1211 nucleotides) under Nicotiana benthamiana. Its description in RNAcentral is "long non-coding RNA (NBEN_LNC025896)". The record is from RNAcentral. Lineage: Eukaryota; Viridiplantae; Streptophyta; Magnoliopsida; Solanales; Solanaceae.